This 240-nucleotide ribosomal RNA is filed under the name uncultured bacterium. Its description in RNAcentral is "partial 16S ribosomal RNA". It matches the Rfam family "Bacterial small subunit ribosomal RNA", at positions 524 to 763 of the family's 1533-position model. The record is from RNAcentral.
UACGUAGGUGGCAAGCGUUGUCCGGAAUUAUUGGGCGUAAAGCGCGCGCAGGUGGUUCCUUAAGUCUGAUGUGAAAGCCCACGGCUCAACCGUGGAGGGUCAUUGGAAACUGGGGAAUUUGAGUGCAGAAGAGGAAAGUGGAAUUCCAAGUGUAGCGGUGAAAUGCGUAGAGAUUUGGAGGAACACCAGUGGCGAAGGCGACUUUCUGGUCUGUAACUGACACUGAGGCGCGAAAGCGUG